Papaver somniferum (opium poppy) is the source of this 3766-nucleotide RNA transcript. It is a transcript of the gene named probable LRR receptor-like serine/threonine-protein kinase At1g07650, with no coding region annotated. The transcript has 14 exons. The record is from RefSeq and is a predicted model, not a curated record. Lineage: Eukaryota; Viridiplantae; Streptophyta; Magnoliopsida; Ranunculales; Papaveraceae.
CCGACUCACCCUCCUCCGUCAUUUCUUUCUCUCUCAACUCUGUUCGUUUCUCUGCAACUGAAGCUGCCGGGAUUUUGUGAAAGAAUCAUGGUGAAGGUUAAUUGGAAUGUUUAAGCUAAUUGGUCUGGAAUCACUAGGAGUAGCUAGAUUAUUCAACUUCAGAUCCAUGCGGUAUUCCGUCUGCCUAAAAUUGCAAGGAGAGAUACUGAGAUAGAUAAACUUAAAAUGGAAGUUGUUGGUGGAAAUUUGGUGGGAUUCAGCCUUUAUGCAUUCUGGCUAUACGGAUGUGGGUGAGACAAAGAGAACUCCACACUGACUGUGCGCCUCCUUAAAAACAUGCCCGAAGAGAAGAUAGCAAGAUUGUCUGAACUUGUCCGGGAUUACUACAUAUUUGUACCUGAUGAUGCAAAGGCCAAGAAGGCAAUCAGAACACUAUUGAGGCUAGAAUAUGGGAGAUAUUGAUCUGAACUAGCAAAUCAUUAUAGAUCAUUUGCGACCCACGAGGAUCCAUCCAUGAGAAUCCGCAACAUUGACGCCUGGACUUUCAUUUGCACCUUCUUUAACAGUGACGAGUUUAAGCUUUUAUUGUGGGAUGUUCUUAAUGAAGUCAUCUGCCUGUUGAUUAGGAGGAAGAUUUCAGUGCAACUGAUUAAUAUUCUGAUAAUGGAUGUUUUAUCGUAGGGUGUUCGCCGUGGAGUUGUUCAAAAAACAGUAUUUUGAGGAUACAUGUGAUUAGAGAAUGAAGCGUGGACUAUUGAAUCUGUGCACGAGUAAAUUCUGUGGUAGAGAUGCAAAUAUCACAAUGAUACCAGGAAAAGGUCCUUGGCACUUGAAGCUGGUGAGACAAAGGGGUUUAUCUCCCUGAUCGCUGAAUAGUUCCGUGGUUUCAGCUGAAAGAAGUAAUAAAUGGUCAAUAUUAUUGGAGCUGAUCGGUUUAAUGAGCAUACAUUGCCCCGGAGUAUUUGGUUAGAUGUUCAAUUACAGAAAAGGUUCAGCUUUGGAGUUUCCAUACUUGUAAUUUCAACGGAAAAGAAAUCUUUUGAUUUGGAAAGACUCGCCAACGAGGAGUCGGAAUAUCUAUUGAACCUGGCCAAGGAUUAACAUCAGAAGGGAGAUCUUCUGUCGCUGAUUGAUGAAGACUUGGCAUCGAGUAAUUCUGGGAAAGAAGCAACCAUGUUACUGGAUUUGGCACUGUUAUGUACUAAUGAAUCUCCAGAGUUGAGGCCUUCCAUGUCAGAUGUAGUAAACAUUCUUGAAGGGAAUACUACAAUGAAGAACCCUCCUAUUGAUCCGCUGUAUGUGACAACAAUCAGGUACGAGGAGGUCAUGUCUGAGAUUGAAAGUGCAAGCAGCAGUUCAUCAUAUACAAAGCUGACGCGUGACGGGUUUGUUUAUAAUCCUAAUGAUGACUGGGAUGGUGAUGAUGCAAAUUUAUCCUGUCAAGUUGCACCAAAGGUAAAGGAAGACGAUACUCGUCCCGAACUUCAUAAUAAUUUUGUUUCUGAUUUAAAGGCGUUUUUAAGUAAGCAGGAGAAGAGAAUGAUAAAGUUGAGUAUGUUAAACCGGUCGUAGAAACACAUGAAACAUAUGAAACCACGACUUUUAGUUUAAGGUAUAUUGAGGUUGUAACCGGAAAUUCAGCCCAGCAAAUAAGAUUGGUCAAGGUUCUUCUGGUUCAGUUUACAAGAUGAUUGCAGUGAAGCAACUGUCCCUGGAAUCAUCUGACAAAGGAAAAGUGGAGUUUCUAAAUGAAGUGAACACUUUGUCUACCUUGAGGCACCCAAAUAUUAUUAGUAUAUGAGUACAUGGAAAAUGGAUGUCUAAACAGAGCUUUAUUUGGUCCAGUGAAUUUGAAGAACAAACUUAGUUGGCCAGCAAGACUUAGAAUUCGCACCGGAAUGGCAAGGGGUCUUCUGUAUCUGCAUGAUGUCAACUCAAAAAUGAAGAUUGUUCACAGAGACAUUAAACUUUCAAAUAUCUUGCUUGAUAAAGAUCUCAAUCCUAAGAUAUCAGAUUUUGGGUUAACCAUGUAUUACAACAGAGCAAUCACACAUAUUAAGACUGGUCUAGCAGGAACAGUAGGAUAUAUGGCCCCUGAAUAUGUGAUACGAGGAACAGUAAUUGAGAAAAUAGACAUAUACAGCUUUGGAAUAGUAACACUUCAACUCAUGACCGGAAAAAAUAGAAUUCAAUGGAAGACAAAGCAUGAAAGCAUUUCCCUUCUAGAUUUGGCCUGUGAUUUACAACAAAGGGGAGAUCUUUUAGGGCUAUUUGAUCAAGAUGUGAGGAUGAACAUUCCAGUGAAAGAAGCGGAGAUGGUGUUAAAUUUGGCAAUCUUGUGUACCAAUUAUGACCCGAAGUUAAGGCCUACUAUGUCAGAAGUGGUGGACACUUCGGCAAUCUUAUGUUCUAACUGAAACUGCACAACAAGAAUCGACUCUACAAUGCACUAUGGCAAUGCUGUUUCCUCGAGUGAUGUGUUUGACUAUAAUGAUGGGGUGACUACAGGUUCUUCCUCUAAUGAUGUACCAGAAGUGGAUCAAAUCAAUAAAGAUGUUGAAUUCCAUCGUGAUUUCAUUUUCAGUUCAAACACUCUUGUUGGUGAAGUCGUGAAGAGUGAUAAGCCAUUUAGCCAAGUGAUUACUACAUCAGAACAGCCACUAGGAUUGAAUAUUAAGCGGCAAACUUCUUCAUUUUCUAAGGACACAUACUACCAAAAAGGAGUACAAAGUAAGCUUGAACUUUUUGAACCCUUCUUUGAAGAAGGAAAACUCCAUAUUGAAUUUUCUGAUGAUGAGUUCAGAGCCGUAUGCGAUGAAUGGGAGAAUUCCUUGGUAGGCUUUUUUGUGGGUGAAGAUGUCCCCUUCAGCAUGGACCUAAAUUUUGUUGAAGAACUUGGGAAGUGAAAGGAGAUAUUUCUGUGUUCAGAAUAGAAAAUGGAUACUUUAUAUUUCAGUUCAGUUGUGUUGAACAAAAGAUGAGAAUUCUAGAAUCAGCAGACCUCUGGAGAAUAAAACAAAGGCAAUUAAUUCUGAAAGAGUGGGAUUGGAAGUUGAUGCUUGAAAGAAUGGAUAUGGGAUCUCUUCCAAUCUGGGUAAAGAUUUACAACUUCCCGCUCAUUUUUUGGAUGACUCCUGUUCUCAGUAAAGUUGGGAGUGGACUAGGGACUCCUCUUUAUGCUGAUCAGAAGACACUGAACAAACAGCAAUUAGCUUAUGCCAUGCUUUGUAUAGAAUUUGACGCCAAUAAGACAUUGCCAGAGUCUCUGUGUAUUCUAGUGAAAGGUACGGAGUAUCAUCUAAACUUGGAAUAUGAUUGGAAACCCUUGAGGUGUGAAAUCUGUUGCACUUUUGGUCACAUAGACUUGAAUUGUAUGGCGAAGAUGAAGGCUAGGAAACAAAACUAGGCUCAAAUUUGUUGCUUGUACUUACUGUUGGCGCAGCGGAGAACUGAGAUGAAUGCAGGAAGAACGCCAGGGCGGAACCAGAGUUGCCUGUCUUUUAGCUUAGCUCCUGCAAAAUCAUGACAUGUUAAACCAAUGCCUAUAUUACCAGUAAGAAGCAUCUCAAAGUGACAGAAAGAAAAGGCUGAGAUGGAGGGAUCAAAGCUUUGUUCUGAUUCUGCUGCUGGGUAUAUAUAAUUUAGUGGUUCUUUCCUUUCUUUGUGGAGGAGAUCUCUUUGUUCUGAUUGUUAAACACUAUGAAUAAUAAUCAAUGCCGACUUGACUAAAACCUGUACUUCGGAAAGUUAUUAUACUUGGUUUAAA